Homo sapiens (human) is the source of this 1622-nucleotide long non-coding RNA. Ensembl annotates it as long intergenic non-protein coding RNA 2052. The record is from Ensembl. NCBI's taxonomy places the organism in Eukaryota, Metazoa, Chordata, Mammalia, Primates, Hominidae.
CCCCCGCCCACCGCCUCAGCAACCAACCUCCAGGGAGGGGAAAGGGGGCAGAAGUUUGAGUUAAUAACUAAUAGCUAAAGAUGUAAACAAUAAGCCUCCAUAAAACCCCAAAAGGACUGGACUGGUUUCUGAGAGCUUCCAGGUUGUUGAGCACGUGGAGGUUCUGGGAGGGUCCACACCCAGAGAAGGCAUGGAAGCUGACCCCUUCCCCAUACCUUGCUCUUUGCAUCUCUUCCAUUUGGCUGUUCCCGAGUUGUAUACUUUGUAAUAAGUGGGAUUUCCACCCAACAACAAUUCAGCCACACUGCUUCACACAUCUAGAAUCCAUCCAAAAUUGUAAAGGCUUUGUGGCACUACAGUGAAACAGGCAAGAACAUCUUCCAAACAUCCAGCACAAGAGCACACAGGAGGCCGGCAUAAUCACGAAUUGCAGCUGUCUGAAGGGCAGUCACAUAAAAGAGGAGAAGCUUCACCUUUGCUUCACAAGGCACAUCUUGAACCAGGGAUGGAAAUUACAGAGAGGCCAAAACCAGCUCGGUGUGAGCAGGACUGGUAACAGACUGGCCAAGCAACAGAAGGGGCUGCCCUGUGAAGAAGCAAGCUCUCUGUCAAUGGGAGGUGCAAGCUGAGCCUGCACUACCUUUUGUCACGGUUGCUAUGGAAAAGAUUAAGAGCCCGGUAUUAACUAUCUAUUGCUACAUAACAGAAUACCACACAACUUAAAAGCUUAAACAACACAUUUUUAUCAUGUCACAAUGUUUGGGGUCAGGGAUUCUGGAGUGGCUUAGCUGGGUGGGGUCUCCGGGUUGGUCUCUCGUGAGGCUCCAGUCUAGAUGUUGGCUGGGGAUGCAGUCGUCUGUCAGCUUGGCGAGGGCUGGAUGAUCUGCUUCCGGAAUGGCCCACUCACAUGGCUGUGGGAAACAGGCCUCAGCCCCUCUCCAUGUGGCUUCUCCAUAGGGCUGCUUGAGUGUCUGCAUGACAUGGCAGCUGGCUCCCUGAAGAGCACGUGAUCCGAAAGAGAGAGCAAGACAGAAGCGCAGUGUCUUCAACAGCAUAUCUUUGAAAGUCAUAUUCCACCGUUUUCACUACAUUCUAUUGAUAAGAUAGCCCUUCCUCCUCUGGGGGCCUGGGCAUCAGCAAGUCGGAUGGCAGUGGAAGGUGGAGAAAUGGAAUCCUGCUGGGGGCUCAGGAGGCCUGCCCCCUGAUGCUGCCGUGCACUGCAGAUGUCCUUGAUGAAGAGAAUGAAUGGAAGCUGUCUUUCUCAAUGGCAAAAGGGCAUACUGCUGUUAUUGUCAGUGAGGGGUCAGUAGUUUAAAUGAUGAAACUCUGGGGAUCAGCGUAAAGUAAACCAACAUACUGCAUGUAAGUAUCAAGUAAAUGAGCAGAGACAGCCCCUGGUUUACAAACACCUGACUUAAGCAUCGUCCAUCCUACAGGACAGGGAAGGAGGAAGAAGCUUCGAGAGGCUGGAACAGUUGAGGGAGCGCUGACACGGUAAAGGCCACUUUGCUCAUCAUCACCAGGCGUGCUGCCGAAAAUUUCCACUCUGUUUACUCCCAAGACCUUACUCCUACUAUGUGGAGACACAUUUGAAUAAAAAAUUGGCCUCUUUUCAAAGUCAA